RNAcentral lists this long non-coding RNA (674 nucleotides) under Sorghum bicolor (sorghum). RNAcentral's name for it is "long non-coding RNA (SBIC_LNC013587)". The record is from RNAcentral. Lineage: Eukaryota; Viridiplantae; Streptophyta; Magnoliopsida; Poales; Poaceae.
UCGAUUAUUUAGCAAACGACAACAUUUUUUUUUUGAGUGAAACAGGGGCUUGCCCCUACUAGAUUUUAUUGAAAGUUAAAAUAAAAACAGAGGGAUACAAAAAAAUAUUUAAAAAUCAGAAGACAUUUUAUAUGACUUUUCCCUCACAAAAAUACGUUUAUGGUUUCAGAUAUGGAGGAGGGCGCAUAUGGAGUAAGAUCACAAGGUUCAAAUUGGACACUGCGUUCCACUAAACAAGAGGCGCACUUUAUAUCCAAUUAUAUCGCCGGCCUGUCACUCGCUGCUUCACCUACGAUCGCAGCAAGGCCAAUGCUGGUUUGUAUGUGGAACCGGAGACGGCGGUGAGCUCGGCUGCCUCCCUCCUGCACGCAGACCAUCAAAAACACAUGCAAGUCAGCUGCUUAAUCCUCACGUGUAGCUGUGCUGGCUAGCAGCUUGUCAACUGAAGAAACCAGGAGCCAUAAACUAACCACCGGAAGCGGCGUAAUCGAUCAUAGCACGUAGGAGUAUAGUACCUUGGGCAGGCUCAACGUGCAAGGCGAGAAUGAUGAAGAACGCCACCACCAAGAUCGCCAAGAAACGCAGAAGUACGAGCAAGGAGGGACGAGGCGCCUUCAUUAAUUUUAUGGAUCUUUUUGCUGUGCGCCGCGGCUCUGUAUAUCUGAUCUAUGUCG